CGAGUUUCGCUUGAUUAAUUCUGAAGAGUAGUGGGCCUAGCGGCCUUUCUCUCGGUUCAUCAUUUAGGUAAAUUCAAAUACGGUAUGUCUUAUACACAUUUGGACCGAAUAUUUAGAAUGUGAUCAGAUCUUAGACACAUUUAUUCCUUAAAAAGAAUAUUGUGCCUAGAAAAAAAAAAUACUGCGCCCCAAAAAUAAUCAAUACAACAAACACACUACGAUUUUGUUACUUACACGUAGAAAUGGUACAUAAACGUAAAGAUAAUUCCAAGAAUUGUUCAUUGAUCCGUCAGCAGAUUCAUUAAUGAAAUAAGGCUCUUCGGCUCCGGCUCCGGCUCGGGCUCCGGCUCCAGCUAAGAAACUGUUUAUCUCAUUCAGGGAUUGGAACCGGUGGCUCAGCUCAGCCACUGAGCUCCCAAGACUGAGUUUUCACCUUCAUUAAUGUUGAGAAAAUGACUUUAAUUUGGGAUAGGAUAUGUUUGUUUUCCAUCCUCAGAUGAGCCACCUCAGCCUUCAUAUCAUCGAAUUGUCUUUUCCUGAGCUUACUCUGACGUCUCUUCUGCUUCCUUAAAUUCAUCAACUGCUGCUUAUCUUCUUCAGAACCCAAGUUCUGUACAACAGAUGUACAUGAUGAUAUCUCACUAGAGGAAGCCAUGGAAACAAAACCUCAAGAAAAUUCUCAAAAUUAAUGAAAAUAUCAGAUUAUAGUGAGAAGGAUUGAACUAAAUGUGUGAGGAAUUCCCAAAAUUUUCACAUGUCCAGAAUUUUUUAACUACUUAAGAACUGGGAAAUGAAAUGUCAGAAUGAUAUUAGAGGAUUGCAAAGAGAAAAGAGAGGAGGAUUGAGCUAUUGGUGGUGUUUGGGCAGUGAUUAUAUAGAGAGAGAAAAAUCGGUGGAGAAGAAUAUCAAAAUAUUGGAAAAG
This 922-nucleotide long non-coding RNA is filed under the name Olea europaea subsp. europaea. Lineage: Eukaryota; Viridiplantae; Streptophyta; Magnoliopsida; Lamiales; Oleaceae. The record is from RNAcentral.